This 71-nucleotide transfer RNA is filed under the name Marmota monax (woodchuck). It matches the Rfam family "tRNA". From Rfam's summary of the family: Transfer RNA (tRNA) molecules are approximately 80 nucleotides in length. The record is from Rfam by way of RNAcentral. Lineage: Eukaryota; Metazoa; Chordata; Mammalia; Rodentia; Sciuridae.
GUGGCUGGGGCUCACUGGUAGAGCACUUGCCUCACAUGUGUGAGGCCCUGGGUUUGAUCCUCAGCACCACA